GACGAACGUUGGCGGCGUGCCUUACACAUGCAAGUCGUACGCGAAAGGGUGAACCGGCUUGCCGGGGAUCCCCGGUAGAGUGGCGAACGGGAGCGUAACACGUGAGGAACCUGCCUUGGAGGUGGGGAAGUAACCCAGAGAAAUCUGGGCUAAUUCCGCAUGAUGCAUCGGACCCGCAUGGGUACCGUUGUUAAAGAUCGCCUCUGCUUGCAAGCGAUCGCUUCGAGAUGGCCNCGCGGCCUAUCAGCUAGUUGGUGAGGUCAUGGCUCACCAAGGCGACGACGGGUAGCCGGCCUGAGAGGGUGUCCGGCCUCAUUGGGACUGAGACACGGCCCAGACUCCCUACGGGAGGCAGCAGUGAGGAAUCUUGCGCAAUGGGCGAAAGCCUGACGCAGCGACGCCGCGUGAGGGAUGAAGGCC
Molecule: ribosomal RNA, 420 nt
Filed under: uncultured bacterium
Lineage: Bacteria
Description: bacterial SSU rRNA
Rfam family: Bacterial small subunit ribosomal RNA
Source: RNAcentral